AGCGGUCGGGGGAGGAACUCAGGAGAUCUGGGGAGUGACUUGGAGAGGAAUCAAAGAGGAGGCCUACUCAACUAUUUAAAGGUCCUUAAAGGAUGUUGGCUAGAAAGAAUCUGGAACCAGAAAAGAGAGCAUGUAUUUGCUUUGACAUUCGCCGAAAGCCUAAUAAAGAAAGAUGAGUCAUUGAAAAGUUUCACCAUAACAAAGGAAGACCAAAAUAAAGAAGAAGAAGAAGAUGAAGAAGAGCAAGAAAUGUGUGGAAAAAAAAUAAAAAAGGAGAAAAAACUUCUGAAAACACUAGCAAUGCAAAAGAAACUGAUAAAGCAGAAACUUCUGAAAUCACUAGCAAUGCAAAAGACAAUGAAAGAGCACAAACUUCUGUAUCUGUAUUGUCAUCAUUAACAACUAAAAAGGAGAUCCCAUUGUUUACUGCAACUAGAAGGGGAAUACAAGAGAUUGUGGAGCUGAUAAUAAAACUACAUCCUCAUGCUAUUGACCAGCGCGAUGAAAUGAAUCGGAGCAUUUUGGAUGUGGCCGUCAUGUAUCGCCAGAAAAAGAUCUUUGAUAAUGUGAAGGAAAAGAAUUUACCAAUGGCUAGAAUGCGUCAAGGUGUUGAUAAAAGCGGAAACACAUUGUUGCACCAUGUUGCAGAUAUGAAUAAAAACAGUGGAGUAACCAAGCCUGGGCCUGCACUCCAACUUCAGGAGGAGUUGAAAUGGUUUGAGCGAGUGAAAGAGGAAAUUCCUCCUCAUUAUGUCCCGCUUCUGAACAAAGAUGGAAUGACUGCGAGAGAGUGCUUCGAAAAUUCGCUAAGAGAUGCAACUGAAACAAGCACCAAAAUGGAUCAAGGAAACAGCUCAGUCUUGUUCAACUGUAGCUGCACUUGUUGCUACUGUUGUCUUUGCUGCCGCCUAUACUGUGCCCGGAGGUUCUGAUGAAAAAGGCAAGCCAACUUCAUCAACUCUCCCUAUUUUCUGAUUUUCACUGUCUCUGAUGUUGUCUCCUUAGCAAGCUCCUUGACUUCGCUUGUGGUGUUUCUCUCUUUGUUGACCUCUCCAUUUGAGCUACAAGAAUUCCACAUCUCUCUUCCUCGAAAACUUAUUGUUGGCUUCUCCUUCCUCUUCUUUUCUGUGUUAACGACCAUGCUAUCCUAUGGCGCCACAAUUUUGAUACUCAUUCAGACAGAGAGGAGGUUGACAA
Populus euphratica (Euphrates poplar) is the source of this 1197-nucleotide RNA transcript. It is a transcript of the gene named ankyrin repeat-containing protein At3g12360-like, with no coding region annotated. The transcript has 4 exons. The record is from RefSeq and is a predicted model, not a curated record. NCBI's taxonomy places the organism in Eukaryota, Viridiplantae, Streptophyta, Magnoliopsida, Malpighiales, Salicaceae.